AAAUUGAAGAGUUUGAUCAUGGCUCAGAUUGAACGCUGGCGGCAGGCCUAACACAUGCAAGUCGAGCGGUAGCACAGAGAGCUUGCUCUCGGGUGACGAGCGGCGGACGGGUGAGUAAUGUCUGGGAAACUGCCUGAUGGAGGGGGAUAACUACUGGAAACGGUAGCUAAUACCGCAUAAUGUCGCAAGACCAAAGUGGGGGACCUUCGGGCCUCAUGCCAUCAGAUGUGCCCAGAUGGGAUUAGCUAGUAGGUGGGGUAACGGCUCACCUAGGCGACGAUCCCUAGCUGGUCUGAGAGGAUGACCAGCCACACUGGAACUGAGACACGGUCCAGACUCCUACGGGAGGCAGCAGUGGGGAAUAUUGCACAAUGGGCGCAAGCCUGAUGCAGCCAUGCCGCGUGUGUGAAGAAGGCCUUCGGGUUGUAAAGCACUUUCAGCGGGGAGGAAGGCGUUAAGGUUAAUAACCUUGGCGAUUGACGUUACCCGCAGAAGAAGCACCGGCUAACUCCGUGCCAGCAGCCGCGGUAAUACGGAGGGUGCAAGCGUUAAUCGGAAUUACUGGGCGUAAAGCGCACGCAGGCGGUCUGUCAAGUCGGAUGUGAAAUCCCCGGGCUCAACCUGGGAACUGCAUUCGAAACUGGCAGGCUAGAGUCUUGUAGAGGGGGGUAGAAUUCCAGGUGUAGCGGUGAAAUGCGUAGAGAUCUGGAGGAAUACCGGUGGCGAAGGCGGCCCCCUGGACAAAGACUGACGCUCAGGUGCGAAAGCGUGGGGAGCAAACAGGAUUAGAUACCCUGGUAGUCCACGCCGUAAACGAUGUCGAUUUGGAGGUUGUGCCCUUGAGGCGUGGCUUCCGGAGCUAACGCGUUAAAUCGACCGCCUGGGGAGUACGGCCGCAAGGUUAAAACUCAAAUGAAUUGACGGGGGCCCGCACAAGCGGUGGAGCAUGUGGUUUAAUUCGAUGCAACGCGAAGAACCUUACCUGGUCUUGACAUCCACAGAACUUUCAGAGAUGGAUUGGUGCCUUCGGGAACUGUGAGACAGGUGCUGCAUGGCUGUCGUCAGCUCGUGUUGUGAAAUGUUGGGUUAAGUCCCGCAACGAGCGCAACCCUUAUCCUUUGUUGCCAGCGGUUCGGCCGGGAACUCAAAGGAGACUGCCAGUGAUAAACUGGAGGAAGGUGGGGAUGACGUCAAGUCAUCAUGGCCCUUACGACCAGGGCUACACACGUGCUACAAUGGCAUAUACAAAGAGAAGCGACCUCGCGAGAGCAAGCGGACCUCAUAAAGUAUGUCGUAGUCCGGAUUGGAGUCUGCAACUCGACUCCAUGAAGUCGGAAUCGCUAGUAAUCGUAGAUCAGAAUGCUACGGUGAAUACGUUCCCGGGCCUUGUACACACCGCCCGUCACACCAUGGGAGUGGGUUGCAAAAGAAGUAGGUAGCUUAACCUUCGGGAGGGCGCUUACCACUUUGUGAUUCAUGACUGGGGUGAAGUCGUAACAAGGUAACCGUAGGGGAACCUGCGGUUGGAUCACCUCCUUA
RNAcentral lists this ribosomal RNA (1539 nucleotides) under Klebsiella pneumoniae. RNAcentral describes it as "bacterial SSU rRNA". It matches the Rfam family "Bacterial small subunit ribosomal RNA". The record is from RNAcentral. Lineage: Bacteria; Pseudomonadati; Pseudomonadota; Gammaproteobacteria; Enterobacterales; Enterobacteriaceae.